GGGAUUGUAGUUCAAUUGGUUAGAGCACCGCCCUGUCAAGGCGGAACCCGUAGCUUCGGGUUCGAGCCCCGUCAGUCCCG
This 80-nucleotide transfer RNA is filed under the name Ilex wilsonii. RNAcentral's name for it is "tRNA-Asp". It matches the Rfam family "tRNA". Rfam says of the family: Transfer RNA (tRNA) molecules are approximately 80 nucleotides in length. Their secondary structure includes four short double-helical elements and three loops (D, anti-codon, and T loops). Further hydrogen bonds mediate the characteristic L-shaped molecular structure. tRNAs have two regions of fundamental functional importance: the anti-codon, which is responsible for specific mRNA codon recognition, and the 3' end, to which the tRNAs corresponding amino acid is attached (by aminoacyl-tRNA synthetases). tRNAs cope with the degeneracy of the genetic code in two manners: having more than one tRNA (with a specific anti-codon) for a particular amino acid; and 'wobble' base-pairing, i.e. permitting non-standard base-pairing at the 3rd anti-codon position. Lineage: Eukaryota; Viridiplantae; Streptophyta; Magnoliopsida; Aquifoliales; Aquifoliaceae. The record is from RNAcentral.